RNAcentral lists this non-coding RNA (21 nucleotides) under Rattus norvegicus (Norway rat). Lineage: Eukaryota; Metazoa; Chordata; Mammalia; Rodentia; Muridae. The record is from RNAcentral.
UUUGCAGAACUAUGGUGAGCC